AGAGACAGCAGUCGCCACGGUAAUACGUAGGUGGCAAGCGUUGUCCGGAAUUAUUGGGCGUAAAGCGCGCGCAGGUGGUUUAAUAAGUCUGAUGUGAAAGCCCACGGCUCAACCGUGGAGGUCAUUGGAAACUGUUAAACUUGAGUGCAGGAGAGAAAAGUGGAAUUCCUAGUGUAGCGGUGAAAUACGUAGAGAUUAGGAGGAACACCAGUGGCGAAGGCGGCUUUUUGGCCUGUAACUGACACUGAGGCGCGAAAGCGUGGGGAGCAAACAGGAUUAGAUACCCGCGUAGUCCCUGUCUCUUAUACC
RNAcentral lists this ribosomal RNA (309 nucleotides) under uncultured bacterium. RNAcentral's name for it is "partial 16S ribosomal RNA". It matches the Rfam family "Bacterial small subunit ribosomal RNA", at positions 504 to 808 of the family's 1533-position model. The record is from RNAcentral.